AUGCGGAGCAGCCAGGGCAGUGGGCACCAGGCUUUAGCCUCCCUUUCUCACCCUACAGAGGGCAGGCCCUUCAGCUCCAUUCUCCUCCAAGGCUGCAGAGGGGGCAGGAAUUGGGGGUGACAGGAGAGCUGUAAGGUCUCCAGUGGGUCAUUCUGGGCCCAGAGAUGGGUGCUGAAGCUCCCACACCUGCCUGUGAAAAUGGAUUCCUCUCUCACCUGGGAGAGCCAGGUGCUGCCCCGAGAAGGAUGCAUUUAUGGCUUCAUGAAGUCUUUCCUGACCCCCGAUGCUGCUGACUAUAGACAAAGUCUCACUAUGUUGCUCAGGCUGGUCUUGAACUCCUGGCCUCAAGCGAUCCUCCCACCUUAGCCUCCCAAAGUGUUGGGAUUAUAGACAUGAGCCACUGCACCUGGCCAACCUUGGGCAAGUUCUUAAACCCUUCAAAGCCUCAUUUUUCUCCAAUCAUAAAAGGGAAAGAUGGUAAUAUUUUCCCCGCCAAAUUCUUGUCGGAUGCCCUCACAGAAUUGAGAUUAUGUACGUAAAACACCAGGUGCCUAACCCGGCACAGAGCAGGAGGGCUAAGCGUGACAUCCAGCAUGUGGUCAGUGGAAUCCAGUAUUCCUACCCACCUCUCUAGUCUCCCCUCCACCCCUCUCCCUUUCAGAGGCACCAAGCUGCUUGUGGUCUUGUCUAUUCCCACUCCCUGCCCGACUGAACAUUUUCUCUACCUCCUGAUCAUCAGCAGCAGAAACUGGCUGCUCUUCCUCCUGGGUAGACAGCCAGACUGUAUUUCCCAGCUGCCCCUGCAGUGAGAUGUGGCCAUCGGAGCCAGCAUUGGCCAAUGGACUCUGCAUGGGAGUGACGCAUGCUGCCUCCAGGCUUGUCUCUAAAACCUCCCACGUGUCCUCCGCCUGCUCUUCCCACCUCCAAGGAGCACGGCAAUUGUGGAAGACCCAGAUUAGUGAUGGCAGAACCAUAGAUGGGAGGAACCUGGGUCCCUGACUUAAAGUAUCAUGGAUUUGGAUGUUCCCUUAGUGAGAAAUAAACUUCCAUUGUGUUUAAGCCUU
This 1064-nucleotide unclassified non-coding RNA is filed under the name Homo sapiens (human). RNAcentral describes it as "family with sequence similarity 138 member D (ENSG00000262927.1)". The record is from RNAcentral. Lineage: Eukaryota; Metazoa; Chordata; Mammalia; Primates; Hominidae.